This 484-nucleotide ribosomal RNA is filed under the name uncultured bacterium. RNAcentral describes it as "partial 16S ribosomal RNA". It matches the Rfam family "Bacterial small subunit ribosomal RNA", at positions 28 to 507 of the family's 1533-position model. The record is from RNAcentral.
AUUGAACGCUGGCGGCAUGCUUUACACAUGCAAGUCGAACGGCAGCGCGGGCUUCGGCCUGGCGGCGAGUGGCGAACGGGUGAGUAAUGCAUCGGAACGUGCCCAGUAGUGGGGGAUAGCCCGGCGAAAGCCGGAUUAAUACCGCAUACGACCUGAGGGUGAAAGCGGGGGACCGAAAGGCCUCGCGCUAUUGGAGUGGCCGAUGUCGGAUUAGCUAGUUGGUGGGGUAAAGGCUUACCAAGGCGACGAUCCGUAGCUGGUCUGAGAGGACGACCAGCCACACUGGGACUGAGACACGGCCCAGACUCCUACGGGAGGCAGCAGUGGGGAAUUUUGGACAAUGGGGGCAACCCUGAUCCAGCCAUGCCGCGUGCGGGAAGAAGGCCUUCGGGUUGUAAACCGCUUUUGUUCGGGAAGAAAUCCUCUGGGCUAAUACCCCGGGGGGAUGACGGUACCUGAAGAAUAAGCACCGGCUAACUACGUG